Long non-coding RNA from Strigops habroptila (Kakapo), 2101 nucleotides. RefSeq lists it as uncharacterized. The record is from RefSeq and is a predicted model, not a curated record. NCBI's taxonomy places the organism in Eukaryota, Metazoa, Chordata, Aves, Psittaciformes, Psittacidae. The transcript is spliced from 2 exons.
ACCUGGCCCCAGCACCCAUCACCCCACCGUGCCCGGGGGUGCCCCUCAGCUCCCCCCCACCAGCCGCAGGAGCGCUUCCAGGAACAGGAGCAGCGUGGGAGCAGCCAGAUUCAACUUGCAGCUCCGCCUGGGAGACCUGAUGCAGCACGUGGCCAUCCAGAAGGCGACAAGCUCUGAGAGGGAAGCUCUAUCUUUUUAAUCACUUUUCAAUGGAAAGAACAUUUGGUAACUCAGGAACCAGGUAAAACAAAUGGGGUUUGGGGAGGGGGAGGCAAAAAAAACCCCAAAACAACCCAUGCUGCAAGUUGCUUGAGGUUCCUCUCUGUUUUCUUUGGUCAUGGAAAAAGCUUUGUGUGUGGAACCGCUUGCAACAUCUGGAUCCCUUUUCACUCUUCACGUCCCGACUGAUACCCGCUUCCCCUAUGUCCUUGUUAUCCCUCCUUCCAACAACCUGCUGAGUUCAGUAGAUCACGGGUUCUUUGAGACCUUGAGCCAAAGGCUUAAGAGCAAGAGUUGACCCAAAAGACACAGCCCAGCUGUCCUUGCUGCAGAGAGGUGGGAGAGCCUGUGUAAAGGCAUAGGCCAAACGUGGGGUCAAAGCCUUGGAGCCCGGUUUCUGUGGCUUUGUUCAAAGGAAGCACACGGGGCCGACCUCGAGGUGAUACUGCUUUCCUGGCUCGGAUGGAGGGAGGUUGUAGAUAUUGACAAUAGGCAGCUGCUGAGGGUCCUGUGUCCGAAAGGAAAAGAGAGUCCGAUGCCAGCGUCCAUCCUUGAUCUGUGCAGGGAGAAGGGACAGAGAAAGAGCUGUUUAAUUGGGGUACAAAUCAUAGAACCACAGAAUAGUUUGGGUUUGAAAGGACCUUAAGAUCAUCCAUUUCCAACCCUGCUGCUGGAAAGGAAUGUGUUUCUGAGGUAUAAGCUUGAAAAGCCCUGUGGGAGACAAGGGACUGCCUUUUGGGCUGAGCAGGUCUGGGGUGAGGUUCAGAGAGCAUUUUGGGGGAUCCUUUAUCCAGGUCAAGUUGGUAGAAACUGAGCUUGAAAUGGUACCCCCAAACACAAACCCCUUAUGCAGUGAACCCAAAAUGCUUUGAGUGGCAAUUCCCCCUUCUGCCAUUCAACUGCUGACACACAUGACAUGUAUAACCUUGGAACCGAAUGUUUUGCUUUCUAUUUGAAGCCUAUUUACUUAACAGGAGCUGCUCGAGCACCCUGGGCUGGAAAAUCUCAGUGGUGAACAGCUAAACUAGACUCUUCUCCCUUUCUUUUUGAUAGAAUAAGCAGCACAGGCAUAACUCAAGCCUCGUUGUGUGCAGAGUGGGUUCAAUGUGAUAUCUCCAUCUCUCCCCUCUCUUGCAGCAACGCACCUUGCAAUCAUCCGCUGCCACCUCUGGCCUGAGCUGCCCCCCUGCCUCAAACAUCUGCCCAUUCCAGGCCCGGAAGCGCACGGCGUUAUCCGAAGGUUUCUCCGAGGAGCCGUCCCGCCAGACAGAGGUGUUGAGGCAGUGGAUGGUGAUGUGCUGCACCACCUCCGAGCUCAGGAGCCGCAGGAAGUUCAUCUGCACCCUGCCGAUGUCGAAAUCCAGCUGUGAAGGGGACAGAGGUGUUAGGGGGUACCCCUAGAGCGGGGCUGGAGGGUUAGUGCAUGGUUUAACAGUAGAGGUGGUCCCUAUGCUCUGGUUUGCUCUGUGCAGGACUGGGUCUGGUCUAUGGGCAUUAGGGCCAGAUGCCAAGCCAAUGCGGACAGCUUUCAUGUGGACACAGCAGCUCCUUUAUUUUACAGAACAAACAGGUCCUUAAGGGAAAAGAAUGUAAACUUGGAAUUCCAGACACACUCCUGCAAAGAAGCGAAGCGGCAAGUUCAGUUCAUCUGCAGAUGAACCAAGGUAUUGUUAUUGCUAUUUUUAUUGCAGGAUCUUCCUCAAUAGAAACCCUGGAGUUAGAAACCUGUAUGUUUAAGCUUGACCUCGCUUUUUCAGGUGGCAGAAAAUAUUCAGGAGUGACCUGGACAUUAAAUAAUUCAACAAAGCAUUUGAGAGCAGCGUGUUUGCAAAAUUCCUGCUCUCUGUUUAGGUUAUGGGUUAAUUAAACAUUGCUGGAAAAG